RNAcentral lists this transfer RNA (72 nucleotides) under Capra hircus (goat). It matches the Rfam family "tRNA". From Rfam's summary of the family: Transfer RNA (tRNA) molecules are approximately 80 nucleotides in length. Their secondary structure includes four short double-helical elements and three loops (D, anti-codon, and T loops). The record is from Rfam by way of RNAcentral. Lineage: Eukaryota; Metazoa; Chordata; Mammalia; Artiodactyla; Bovidae. RNAcentral also lists the same sequence under 1 other name.
UCCCUGGUGGCUCAGAGGUUAAAGCAUCUGACUGCAAUGCAGGAGACCUGGGUUCGAUCCCUGGGUUGGGAA